UCUCUGGUGGUCCAGUGGCUAAGACUCUGCACUCCCAAUGCAGGGGACCCAGGUUCAAUUCCUAGUCAGGGAA
This 73-nucleotide transfer RNA is filed under the name Bos taurus (domestic cattle). It matches the Rfam family "tRNA". Rfam says of the family: Transfer RNA (tRNA) molecules are approximately 80 nucleotides in length. Their secondary structure includes four short double-helical elements and three loops (D, anti-codon, and T loops). The record is from Rfam by way of RNAcentral. Lineage: Eukaryota; Metazoa; Chordata; Mammalia; Artiodactyla; Bovidae. RNAcentral also lists the same sequence under 5 other names.